This 830-nucleotide ribosomal RNA is filed under the name uncultured crenarchaeote. RNAcentral's name for it is "bacterial SSU rRNA". It matches the Rfam family "Archaeal small subunit ribosomal RNA", at positions 48 to 878 of the family's 1478-position model. The record is from RNAcentral. Lineage: Archaea; Thermoproteati; Thermoproteota.
GCCAUGGUGAGUCAUUGUAGCAAUACAAGGCAUACGGGCUCAGUAACACGCUAGNNUANCNUAACCUAUGGACGUGGAUAACCUCGGGAAACUGCAGAAUAAUCCGCGAUAGAUCAUAAUUCCUGGAACGGUUUAUGGUCCAAAUGAUUCGUCGCCAUAGGAUGGGACUGCGGCCUAUCAGCUUGUUGGUGAGGUAAUGGCUCACCAAGGCUAUUACAGGUACGGGCUCUGAGAGGAGAAGCCCGGAGAUGGGUACUGAGACACGGACCCAGGCCCUAUGGGGCGCAGCAGGCGAGAAACCUUUGCAAUGUGCGCAAGCACGACAAGGUUAAUCCGAGUGUUUCCUGCUAAAGGAAUCUUUUGUUAGUUCUAAAACCACUGAUGAAUAAGAGGUGGGCAAGUUCUGGUGUCAGCCGCCGCGGUAAAACCAGCACCUCAAGUGGUCAGGAGGAUUAUUGGGCCUAAAGCAUCCGUAGCCGGUUCUGUAAGUUUUCGGUUAAAUCCACUAGCUUAACUAAUGGGCUGCCGAAAAUACUGCAGAACUAGGGAGUGGGAGAGGUAGACGGUACUCGGUAGGAAGGGGUAAAAUCCUUUGAUCUAUUGAUGACCACCUGUGGCGAAGGCGGUCUACCAGAACACGUUCGACGGUGAGGGAUGAAAGCUGGGGGAGCAAACCGGAUUAGAUACCCGGGUAGUCCCAGCUGUAAACGAUGCAGACUCGGUGAUGCACUGGCUUGUGGCCAGUGCAGUGCCGCAGGGAAGCCGUUAAGUUUGCCGCCUGGGAAGUACGUACGCAAGUAUGAAACUUAAANGGAAUUGGCGGGGGAGCA